UACGUAGGCAGCGAGCGUUGUUCGGAGUUACUGGGCGUAAAGGGUGUGUAGGCGGUUGUUUAAGUUUGGUGUGAAAUCUCCCGGCUCAACUGGGAGGGUGCGCCGAAUACUGAAUGACUUCGAGUGCGGGAGAGGAAAGUGGAAUUCCUGGUGUAGCGGUGAAAUUCGUAGAUAUUGGGAAGAACACCGGUGGCGAAGGCGGCCAUCUGGACCGCAACUGACGCUGAGGCGCGGAAAGCGUGGGGAGCAAACAGG
Molecule: ribosomal RNA, 255 nt
Filed under: uncultured bacterium
Lineage: Bacteria
Description: partial 16S ribosomal RNA
Rfam family: Bacterial small subunit ribosomal RNA
Source: RNAcentral